GACGAACGCUGGCGGCGUGCUUAACACAUGCAAGUCGAACGGAAAGGCCCUGCUUUUGUGGGGUGCUCGAGUGGCGAACGGGUGAGUAACACGUAUCCAAUCUACCCUUAAGCUUGGGAUAACUAGUCGAAAGAUUAGCUAAUACCGGAUAAUAACAUUUACUUGCAUGAGUGAAUGUAGAAAGUUGCGUUUGCAACGCUUUUGGAUGAGGGCGCGACGUAUCAGAUAGUUGGUUGAGGUAACGGCUCACCAAGUCAUUGACGCGUAGCUGUACUGAGAGGUAGAACAGCCACAAUGGGACUGAGACACGGCCCAU
Molecule: ribosomal RNA, 316 nt
Filed under: uncultured bacterium
Lineage: Bacteria
Description: bacterial SSU rRNA
Rfam family: Bacterial small subunit ribosomal RNA
Source: RNAcentral